RNAcentral lists this ribosomal RNA (497 nucleotides) under uncultured bacterium. RNAcentral describes it as "partial 16S ribosomal RNA". It matches the Rfam family "Bacterial small subunit ribosomal RNA", at positions 28 to 507 of the family's 1533-position model. The record is from RNAcentral.
GAUGAACGCUGGCGGCGUGCCUAAUACAUGCAAGUCGAGCGAACGGACGAGAAGCUUGCUCCUCUGAUGUUAGCGGCGGACGGGUGAGUAACACGUGGAUAACCUACCUAUAAGACUGGGAUAACUUCGGGAAACCGUAGCUAAUACCGGAUAAUAUUUUGAACCGCAUGGUUCAAAAGUGAAAGGCGGUCUUGCUGUCACUUAUAGAUGGAUCCGCGCUGCAUUAGCUAGUUGGUAAGGUAACGGCUUACCAAGGCAACGAUGCAUAGCCGACCUGAGAGGGUGAUCGGCCACACUGGAACUGAGACACGGUCCAGACUCCUACGGGAGGCAGCAGUAGGGAAUCUUCCGCAAUGGGCGAAAGCCUGACGGAGCAACGCCGCGUGAGUGAUGAAGGUCUUCGGAUCGUAAAACUCUGUUAUUAGGGAAGAACAUAUGUGUAAGUAACUGUGCACAUCUUGACGGUACCUAAUCAGAAAGCCACGGCUAACUACGUG